GUAAAUCGAAAGAAUAAACACAAUAUAUACUUACAUAUGAAACUUCAUAAUGUUGCUUGACGAUCUCGAAGUUGAUGUCGAUCUUCUCUGAUUUUUUCCGAUCUCGAAGUUGCUGUUGAUCUUCUCCAAUUUUUUUCGAUCUCAAAGUUGCAUCGCCGUCAGAGAAUUCGUCUUCUCCGAUCUGUGUCGUUCUAUUUUUCUUCAUGAUCGGUUGAUUGCAAAUAUGAAAAUAGGUAACUGACGUGUGGGGAGUUAAUGUUCCGUAAUUUUAGCAACUUAUUAUUGUGUUGAGUUAUUUUUGUAAUUAUUUUGUGGAUGUAUUAUUUUUAUAAAUACUUUCUAAUUGUUGUAUAUUAGUGUUAAGGACCCUAAAUUUUCUAUGUAUGCUUGCAAGCUUAUCUCUAAGUGUUAUGGGUCAUUGCUACAUUAGACAGGUGUAUUGAGGCCAAACAUAACACCUAAAUCCAGCCCCUCCUUCAGUCAUAUUUAGGAGCCCAAAUGGGUAUAUAGAGAGCUGAGUUUUGUGAAGACAGUUCAGUUGUUACGUUAGUUUAGUUAGGCAGAGUGGAUCAGUUAAUAGUCAAUAACUUGCCACCAAGAACAAGGGAAAGGGCAACUAUGGGGCAGAGGUCUGACACUUUUAAUAGGGGCUGGGUAGACUAGACUAGAAAUUAUUGUUGAGAGCUUGAUAGGGUGGCUGUACAGAGGCCAAAUAGAGGCUAAUAGGACUGCCAGAAAAAGGAGAUAGCUCAUCCAUUAAAGGCAGCCCCUCACCCUCAUCCCAGCCAGUCAUUCAAGGAAAAUUCUGGGUUCUAUUUUGCUACAGAGCUUCCGGUUGGAAAGGAAGGAAAAUUAAACUACCAAACUACCUAAAUUUUUAAAAGCUAGCAAGGUAAGCCCAUUUAAACUCCUUCCAUUCUUUUUCCAUUUCAUUGUUAAUAGCAAAAUGGACUGUUUUGGCCGAAUGGUCUGGAUUGGUCAUAAAGGGCUAUUUCACUAUUACAAUGAUUGUUAUUUUGGAUUUUUGAAUGUUAUGUAACCGUUAUAAGGUCUAAUUGUUGCUGUGAUCAUUGCAUAAGCUGACUAAUGGUCGGGUGGCUUAAUAGGGGCUGAUAUAUAGAAUUUGAUAGUGAAUUGCUUUAUGACCAUAUUAGUAAUUGUUAAUACUGAUUGUGGGUUUUCUAUAAUGACUAUUUUGAAUAAGAUGGUUGUGUUUGCUAUGGUUGUCGUUAUGCUUGACUAAUAAUAGAAUCAUUGUUGUUUUAAAGCCAUAAGGCUGGGGUUAAAGAGCUAGAAGCAUGUGUACUAUAUGCCAGUAUGUGGACUGACCACCAUCUGUUUGAUAAAGUGACUAAAUGAGGACUGAAAUGUGUGAAAUGUGUUAAGCAAGUUAACUGUGUAAUAGAGUCUAAGAACAUGUUUAUUUGCUAAAAUGGAAUGUAUCCAUACUUCAAGUGUGCUCUACACUUAAGUAUACUAUGUUUUUAAAAACCACUUACACACAAUGCUAGCUAUGUUAAUGAACAAAACAAAAGUAAUUUUUUACUGUUUAUUAGGAGCUGAUUAUGAUUAAUUUGUCAUAUUUUAAAGGUUGUUUUCAUGCUAGGUAUGGUGCCAAAAUGUACUAAACCAUGAAUGAUAAAAGGGUAGAGCUUAAAGGGUAAUUGCAACUUGAAAAGAACCUAAAAUAGGGCAGGGCCUAUUUUGAACAGGCCAGACUCAGCCCCUAUUUUAGGAAUAUUUGGUAUACUAUUUAUGAAAUUAAGAAGCUUAGAAAAAGGACUGUUGUGGACUGUUAUGUGUAUAAUGUUUUAAACCAUCCAAAUCAAAGAUAUACAUGCUAAAUGUUAUGUAAAUAGCUAGUUCAUGUUUGUAUGUCACAUAAUCAUAUUGUUGAUUAGGUUGUCAACCCAUGUUUUCAUGAAAGUAUAAAGCCUACUAAAGGCUUUUUUGAACAAAAUCUUAAGGUAUUACAUCCAUAUGUUUUUAACCAUGAAAAAUAUAGUAUAUAGCAAGUACUUGUUGUGAUAAUGCAUGAAAUUCAAUGCUUGGUACUGUUUUGGUGUAAUGGUACUAAAUCAUGCCUAAAGUGCUCUAUAUGGACUAUUUUGGGUAUUCAAAAGAUGACUGACCUUUGCAAUUAUAAAUAAGGAAAUAAUUCUAUGUUAUAAGCAUGUUUUGAGGAUUGCUUGAAUACUUAAAGUUCCCUUUUACCUACAUAAGGACUAUUAUGAAUUGUUAUGUAAAUUUCAUACCUAAAAUGUCUAGAACUGGACUGUUUUGUGCUAAUGGUUUAACUAUUUAUGCAAACAUGCUAAAUUCCAUGAAAAUGAGAUAUACUAAUGGUUAGGAGCUUGCAAGAAUGCUUAGAUAUCUAAAGAAGCAUAGCUUGGGACUGUUUGUGAAAAAGAAGAAGCCAAAACAGUGCUUAAAUCCUACAAUUAGGAACUGUUAUGGUCUAUUUUAUCUACUCUUGUUAUAAAUCAUUAAAGUGUAUGUACAUUGUCUACAUAUAUCAUUUAAAAGUUGUUCCUUAAGUUAGUUAAGGUCUACAAGGUAUGUUGUGCAAAUUCAUGCUUAAAAACCAAUAAAAGUAAGAUUUAAAUAGCAAUGAACACCAAAAUGAAGAACCACCAUACCUGGACCAUAUAGAAAAGUUCCAAUAGCUAAAAUAUGACCCAAGUAAGCUACACAAGCUAAAGAAACCAAGUCUAAACUGUUUUGAGCAUUAGACUUGUUAAAAAUCAUAUUUUAAGCCAAAUAGUGGACUGUUUUGGGUGAUUGUUAGCACCUGAACUUAAGGGGCUGUGAUAAACUCAUAUAAAGUUUCUAGUGUAUGCUUAUAAUGGUUUCCAAUCAGUACCAAGACCAAAGUUAGCAAGAAAAGCAAGUUAGAAUCCAUUUUUCAAGCCUAAAGUGAGCUUUGAUAGGUCAAAAUUGGCUAGAUGAUUAAAUAAAGUGUGGUGAUGCUAAAAGUAUCUUUAAGUAACUUAAAUACACAUGCCUAGGCUAUUCUAGUGGCCAAAACUAGAAAAAUUUGGACAAAAGUUCAAAAAUUGGUUUUGUAAAAAAGUGAGAAAACUGCCAAGUUUGAGCCCUGUUUUGGGAAGCUUAAUGGGUAUGAAAAAGAAACCUAAACCCUGAUUAAAAUACCUUGAUGUACGAUCUAAAAUUAGGCUCAAAUGGUUGAGCCAAGAUCUUAAUCCAAUAAUUCAAACAAAUAACCAAACUAGGCUAGAAAAUCAUUCUAACUGCAGUUUUGGAAAAUUUUGCAAGUAUAAAAUUUGAGAUUUUGCCAUUUUGCUUAGAACUCCGUUUUAACACCUUAAACAAAUUAUUUAGAGGCAUGCUAGGAUAUUCCAAGUUUUGGAAUGCUAAUAUAUACAACUUCAGAAAUUAGUAUGUAAAAACUUGAAAAAGCUAGGUUUAGAGGGUCAAAACCAAAUCUAUGCUUAAUAAAGUCAAAGGAAUGCUUAAACUAGUCUUAACUAGUAAUAAUUCAAGUUUUGGAAUGAACCCAAGAGGCCAGAAAUGAAAAUGGCAAGAAUUGACUGAAGUUAGUAAACUAAAAACUGUGGAAAACACCUAGUUUGGGCAUGAGUUUCAAGAAAUAUAAAAGGCUUACUUGGAAACCUUAACCAACACAAAAAAAUACUUUGGUAUAUAUGCUAGAAGUAUGUCCAGAUUUCUGGUCCAAAAGCCUAAUACAAAAAUUCCUAAAAAUCAUCAAAGUAGCCUCGAAAUUCAUAAACGUGCAGUUUCCUUAAGAAAUUGUUAAGAACAGCCCAUUUGAGGCUUGUUUUUGAAUUGUCUAACUUGAUAGUUUUUAUGAUUUAAACCAAGGAUAAAAUACUUUGGUAUGGGGUCUAUAAAAGUGUACAAAUGAUAGGUUCAAAAGACUAUCAUAGAAUAUUCUAAAAAUUAUCAAAGGUGCCUCAAAAAUCAUGAUUUUGAGUUAUUGAAAUAUAUUUUUAAAAGUGAAAUUUAAGACUUGUAAAUGUCCUAACAUGACUAAAUAAGUUAAUAAAAGUAUGUUAUGUUCUAAGAUCUAUAAGAUGACAUGUUUAGACAAAAAAAAAACAAGUAUGCUUUAUGAUAUAUAUGAACUUUAUAGGUGAUGUGUGCCUAUGUGUGUUAGUUGUAUGAAAGUGUCAUAUAAACUAAGCUAUAAAAAGGUGUUGCGAUAAACUAUAUGCCUACGUGUACUAAGUUAUAUUUGCAAAUAAAAGCUGAAUGUAUACUUGGCUAAUGUUAGUAAAUAACAUACAUGUUAGUUAUUGGAUAUGGCUUCAAUAACCAUAGUAAAGUUGUGUAUCCAUAAAUAUGGACUUUGUGUUACAACAUAACUAAGUAAGCUGAUAUUGUAUAUAUGUAGGUACAAUAUCAUGUAGGCUACUCUGUGGCAAGUUACUUUCUUUAUUAAAAGGUUUAAUCGACACAAGAGGCAAGUAUAUCAAACCAUUCUCUCUUAAAUAAGUUUAUAUUGCAGUAUUUAACUCAAAAGCUAUCUUUUCAAGUUAUUCAACUUAUUGUACUUUAAUGCUUCAAAUUCAGUUAUUCUGAUGAUAUUGAAAGAAUGUCAAUGCCAUUAUUUCGGCUAGAAAACUGUUGAGAUAUAUUGAUAUUAUUCAUUCAUGAAAAUCUCAUUUAAUGUUCUCUAAACCAUUUUGUUGUGGUGCGGACUCUUAUAUAAUGUUGUGAAUGAACAACCCUUUUAUAGGGGCAUAUUGUACUGGACAUAUGAUUCCGAAGGACAUGUAAUAUGUCAUCAAACUGUUAUGUUGUGUACAAUAUAGGGUAUUCAGGUUGAUCCCCUAAGGUACAAGUCUAAGAUAUAUCAGUUUUAAUAACUGUUUGCACCUAUUGAUUGCAGUUUUAGUACUGUCAAUUCUAAUACAGAGUUCACUGGUCAUUUGACCUUACAACAUGCUAAAGCUUGAUUCUUUAAACCCAAAGCUUAUCAAGAACUAUUUUUCUCAGUAUCUCAUGAUUUUAUUGCCUUUAUUGUAAAUAUUCUUGUUCCAUUAUAUUCAAUUGUUUAUUUUCUUGUUGAGCAAGCUUUUGCUCACCCUUGCGUUGAAUAUAAUGUUUUCAGUUAAAACCGAGAACGCUGGUACGUCUGGGAAAGAUAAAGGAAAAGGCAAAGUUGUAGAAUAAUUUAUUAUUAAGCGAUUGUGCUUAAAUGGACUUAAGUAGUUGAUGUAAUAAAUACCUUUAGUACUAUGUUUUGUAAUAUUAUUUAAUAUUUAAGUUAUGUAAAGGUCUAUAGAACUUGAGAUUUAAGUAAGAUAUUUAUGUAAUCUAAGACAGGUUUAAGUUAGUAUUUUUAUGGAAUGAAUGGAUAUGUUAGUAUCGUGAGCACCAAACCUGAGGUAAAGGUAACCCGAAUUUGGGAGCGUCACAUAUAUAGUGGGCCAAGGUCCAUGUGGAGUUAUUUUAACCCAUGUAGGAUUUUGUUUGGGCAAUGGAG
This 5470-nucleotide long non-coding RNA is filed under the name Panax ginseng (ginseng). RNAcentral's name for it is "long non-coding RNA (PGIN_LNC015062)". Lineage: Eukaryota; Viridiplantae; Streptophyta; Magnoliopsida; Apiales; Araliaceae. The record is from RNAcentral.